Long non-coding RNA from Aethina tumida (small hive beetle), 265 nucleotides. RefSeq lists it as uncharacterized. The record is from RefSeq and is a predicted model, not a curated record. The transcript has 3 exons. Lineage: Eukaryota; Metazoa; Arthropoda; Insecta; Coleoptera; Nitidulidae.
GUCAGUUAAAAAUUUUACAGCACAGGAUAAAGAUUCUGGACACUACAAUGCAUAAACCUAAACGAGAUGUCACAAAUAACUUACGUUCUUUGAUCAUCGAUCACCAAACUAUUAUUGAAUAUACACAACAGUAUAAUUGCGACGUUAAUAUAAUUUUAUUAAUAGAUUUUACAUUAAUUUCACUGCAAAUCGCUUCAUUAAUGUUUCAGCUAAUCACAAUGGAAUUAAGCAUGAUGAUGAUUGUUUUUUUAACGUUUUAUCUCGG